UAUUUAGUUAAAAAUUUUAUAUACAUCAUAGCAUAUCAAGUUUGGAAACUAUUACCGACCGUCUCUAGCGCAAGUGACAAAAAAUUUGAUUGUUGAUACCCAAUAUCUCAAAUUCGAAUCCUAAUUGAUUUACAUUUUCAGCGAAAUUUAUUUUUAAAAAAAAUAAACGAAACACGUAGAAUGCUAUCUUUCUCUCUAAAAAAAAAAAAUUUGGAAACUAUUGUGUUCAGCAUAGUCUAUUGGAUCAGACAAAUCUAGUAAAAAAUUAUCAUCUUCCCU
RNAcentral lists this long non-coding RNA (279 nucleotides) under Ananas comosus (pineapple). Its description in RNAcentral is "long non-coding RNA (ACOM_LNC022727)". Lineage: Eukaryota; Viridiplantae; Streptophyta; Magnoliopsida; Poales; Bromeliaceae. The record is from RNAcentral.